CCUACGGGGGGCAGCAGUGGGGAAUAUUGGGCAAUGGGGGGAACCCUGAUCCAGCCAUGCCGCGUGUGUGAAGAAGGCCCUCGGGUUGUAAAGCACUUUCAGUGAGGAAGAACGCCUGGUGGUUAAUACCCAUCAGGAAAGACAUCACUCACAGAAGAAGCACCGGCUAACUCCGUGCCAGCAGCCGCGGUAAUACGGAGGGUGCGAGCGUUAAUCGGAAUUACUGGGCGUAAAGCGCGCGUAGGUGGCUUGAUAAGCCGGUUGUGAAAGCCCCGGGCUCAACCUGGGAACGGCAUCCGGAACUGUCAAGCUAGAGUGCAGGAGAGGAAGGUAGAAUUCCCGGUGUAGCGGUGAAAUGCGUAGAGAUCGGGAGGAAUACCAGUGGCGAAGGCGGCCUUCUGGACUGACACUGACACUGAGGUGCGAAAGCGUGGGUAGCAAACAGGAUUAGAUACCCGAGUAGUC
Molecule: ribosomal RNA, 465 nt
Filed under: Vreelandella stevensii
Lineage: Bacteria; Pseudomonadati; Pseudomonadota; Gammaproteobacteria; Oceanospirillales; Halomonadaceae
Description: partial 16S ribosomal RNA
Rfam family: Bacterial small subunit ribosomal RNA
Source: RNAcentral